AGAGUUGACUCUUCCUUGCAGU
RNAcentral lists this microRNA (22 nucleotides) under Gallus gallus (chicken). RNAcentral's name for it is "gga-miR-6559-3p". Lineage: Eukaryota; Metazoa; Chordata; Aves; Galliformes; Phasianidae. The record is from miRBase by way of RNAcentral.